RNAcentral lists this ribosomal RNA (508 nucleotides) under uncultured bacterium. Its description in RNAcentral is "bacterial SSU rRNA". It matches the Rfam family "Bacterial small subunit ribosomal RNA", at positions 28 to 530 of the family's 1533-position model. The record is from RNAcentral.
GACGAACGCUGGCGGCGUGCUUAAAUACAUGCAAGUCGAACGGAGCCUAGCUGGUGGUUUACUACCGGCGAAAGCUUAGUGGCGGACGGGUGAGUAACGCGUGGGUAAUCUACCCCUAAGUCCGGGAUAACAGAGCGAAAGUUCUGCUAAUACCGGAUACUCUUCCCGGGUCGCAUGGUCUGGGAAGGAAAGGUUUACUGCUUAGGGAUGAGCCCGCGUCCCAUUAGCUAGUUGGUGAGGUAACGGCUCACCAAGGCGACGAUGGGUAGCCGGCCUGAGAGGGUGGACGGCCACACUGGGACUGAGACACGGCCCAGACUCCUACGGGAGGCAGCAGUAGGGAAUAUUGCGCAAUGGACGGAAGUCUGACGCAGCGACGCCGCGUGAGCGAUGAAGGUCUUCGGAUCGUAAAGCUCUGUCCUUGGGGAAGAAGGCGAAAGCUUGACGGUACCCAAGAAGAAAGCCCCGGCUAACUACGUGCCAGCAGCCCGCGGUAAAAGUACUCUAU